RNAcentral lists this ribosomal RNA (551 nucleotides) under uncultured bacterium. RNAcentral's name for it is "bacterial SSU rRNA". It matches the Rfam family "Bacterial small subunit ribosomal RNA", at positions 470 to 1019 of the family's 1533-position model. The record is from RNAcentral.
UGACGGUACCAGUAGAAGAAGCCCCGGCUAACUACGUGCCAGCAGCCGCGGUAAGACGUAGGGGGCCAGCGUUGUUCGGAAUUACUGGGUGUAAAGGGUUCGUAGGCGGUGUGGCAAGUCGGGAGUGAAAUCUAUGGGCUUAACUCAUAGACUGCUUCCGAAACUGCUGUGCUCGAGUGUGGGAGAGGCGCGUGGAAUUGCAGGUGUAGCGGUGAAAUGCGUAGAUAUCUGCAGGAACACCCGUGGCGAAAGCGGCGCGCUGGACCACUACUGACGCUGAGGAACGAAAGCUAGGGGAGCAAACAGGAUUAGAUACCCUGGUAGUCCUAGCCCUAAACGAUCAGGACUUGGGGUGCCGCACGUUCGUGCGUCGUCCCGGAGCUAACGCGUUAAGUCCUGCACCUGGGGAGUACGGUCGCAAGACUGAAACUCAAAGGAAUUGACGGGGGCCCGCACAAGCGGUGGAACAUGUGGUUCAAUUCGACGCUACGCGAGGAACCUUACCUGGGCUCGAAGCGCACCUGACCAGCUGUAGAAAUACGGCCUUCCCG